UCUACGGGAGGCAGCAGUAGGGAAUCUUUCACAAUGGGCGAAAGCCUGAUGGAGCAACGCCGCGUGCAGGAUGAAGGCCUUCGGGUUGUAAACUGCUUUUAUAAGCGAGAAAUAUGAUGUUAACUUAUGAAUAAGGAUCGGCUAACUACGGGCCAGCAGCCGAGGUCAUACGUAGGAGCCGAGCAUUAUCCGGAGUGAGUGGGUGUAAAGAGUUGCGUAGGUGGCAUAAUAAGUAGUUGGUGAAAUCUGUUGGCUCAACCAUUCAGACUAUUAGUUAAACUGUUAAGCUCGAGACCGUUAGGGGUAACUGGAAUUACUAGUGUAGGAGUGAAAUCCGUAGAUAUUAGAAAGAACACCAAUAGCGUAGGCAGGUUACUGGGACGGUUCUGACGCUAAGGCACGAAAGCGUAGGGAGCAAACGGGAUUAGAUACCCGGGUAGUC
RNAcentral lists this ribosomal RNA (442 nucleotides) under uncultured bacterium. RNAcentral describes it as "partial 16S ribosomal RNA". It matches the Rfam family "Bacterial small subunit ribosomal RNA", at positions 338 to 795 of the family's 1533-position model. The record is from RNAcentral.